UACGAAGGGGGCUAGCGUUGUUCGGAAUCACUGGGCGUAAAGCGCACGUAGGCGGACCGUUAAGUCGGAGGUGAAAGCCUGGGGCUCAACCCCAGAACUGCCUUCGAUACUGACGGCCUUGAGUGUGGGAGAGGUUGGUGGAACUCCGAGUGUAGAGGUGAAAUUCGUAGAUAUUCGGAAGAACACCAGUGGCGAAGGCGGCCAACUGGCCCAUUACUGACGCUGAGGUGCGAAAGCGUGGGGAGCAAACAGG
RNAcentral lists this ribosomal RNA (253 nucleotides) under uncultured bacterium. RNAcentral's name for it is "partial 16S ribosomal RNA". It matches the Rfam family "Bacterial small subunit ribosomal RNA", at positions 524 to 776 of the family's 1533-position model. The record is from RNAcentral.